Non-coding RNA from Microcebus murinus (gray mouse lemur), 1016 nucleotides. The record is from RefSeq and is a predicted model, not a curated record. NCBI's taxonomy places the organism in Eukaryota, Metazoa, Chordata, Mammalia, Primates, Cheirogaleidae.
AUGGUGAAAGUGAAGGCCGAAAUAAAUGACAUUGGCCGCAUUGGGCACCUGGUCACCUGGGCUGCUGUUAACUCUGACAACGUGGAUAUUGUCACCAUCAACUACCCCUUCAUUGACCUCAAUCUACAUGGACGCCUGGUCUACAUGUUCCAAUACGACUCCACCCACGGCAAGUUCAAUGGCACUGUCAAGGUGGAGAACGGGAAGCUUGUCAUCAAUGGCCAGCCCAUAACCAUCUUCCAGGAGCGAGAUCCCACCAAAAUCAAAUGGGGUGAAGUGGGCACUGAUUACAUUGUGGAGUCCGCUGGUGUCUUCACUAUCCUGGAGAAGGCCAGGGCUCACCCAGAUGGGGGUGCCAAAAGGGUCAUCAUCUCUUCCCCCUCUGCUGACGCCCCCAUGUUUGUGAUGGGUGUGAACCACGACAAGUACCAAAACAACCUCACCAUUGUCAGCAAUGCCUCCUGCACCACCAACUGCUUACCCCCCUGGCCAAGGUAUUCCAUGACAACUUUGGCAUCGUGGAGGGACUCAUGACCACAGUCCAUGCAGUCACUGCCACCCAGAAGACCAUGGAUGGCCCCUCUGGGAAGAUGUGGCGUGAUGGCCGUGGGGCUCUCCAGAACAUCAUCCCUGUGUCGACUGGCGUGGCCAAGGCCAUAGGCAAGGUCAUCCCUGAGCUGAACGGGAAGCUCACUGUUAUGGCCUUCUGCGUCCCCACUGCCAACGUGUCCAUGGUGGACCUGACCUGCCAUUUGGAGAAGCCAGCCAAGUAUGAUGACAUCAAGAAGGUGGUGAAGCAGGCGGCGGAUGGCCCCCUCAAGGGCAUCCUGGGCUACACUGAGCACCAGGUUGUCUCCUCUGACUUCAACAGCGACACCCACUCUUCCACCUUUGAUGCUGGGGCUGGCAUCACCCUCAACGACCACUUUGUAAAGCUCGUUGCCUGGUAUGACAAUUAAUUUGGCUAUAGCAACAGGGUGGUGGACCUCAUGGCCCACAUGGCCACCAAGGAGUAA